RNAcentral lists this ribosomal RNA (253 nucleotides) under uncultured bacterium. Its description in RNAcentral is "partial 16S ribosomal RNA". It matches the Rfam family "Bacterial small subunit ribosomal RNA", at positions 524 to 776 of the family's 1533-position model. The record is from RNAcentral.
UACAGAGGUGGCGAGCGUUACUCGGAUUUAUUGGGUGUAAAGGGCAAGUAGGCGUCUUGACAAGUUGGGGGUGAAAUCCUGCAGCUCAACUGCAGAACUGCUCUCAAAACUGUUGAGAUUGAGACUGGGAGAGGAAAGCGGAAUUCUCGGUGUAAGAGUGAAAUCUGUAGAUAUCGAGAGGAACACCAGUGGCGAAGGCGGCUUUCUGGUCCAGUACUGACGCUGAAUUGCGAAAGCUAGGGGAGCAAACAGG